Molecule: ribosomal RNA, 472 nt
Filed under: uncultured Enterococcus sp.
Lineage: Bacteria; Bacillati; Bacillota; Bacilli; Lactobacillales; Enterococcaceae
Description: bacterial SSU rRNA
Rfam family: Bacterial small subunit ribosomal RNA
Source: RNAcentral
GUGCCAGCCGCUGCGGUAAUACGUAGGUGGCAAGCGUUGUCCGGAUUUAUUGGGCGUAAAGCGAGCGCAGGCGGUUUCUUAAGUCUGAUGUGAAAGCCCCCGGCUCAACCGGGGAGGGUCAUUGGAAACUGGGAGACUUGAGUGCAGAAGAGGAGAGUGGAAUUCCAUGUGUAGCGGUGAAAUGCGUAGAUAUAUGGAGGAACACCAGUGGCGAAGGCGGCUCUCUGGUCUGUAACUGACGCUGAGGCUCGAAAGCGUGGGGAGCGAACAGGAUUAGAUACCCUGGUAGUCCACGCCGUAAACGAUGAGUGCUAAGUGUUGGAGGGUUUCCGCCGUUCAGUGCUGCAGCAAACGCAUUAAGCACUCCGCCUGGGGAGUACGACCGCAAGGUUGAAACUCAAAGGAAUUGACGGGGCCGCACAAGCGGUGGAGCAUGUGGUUUAAUUCGAAGCAACGCGAAGGAACCUUACCA